AUGGGGUGCUGUUGGGCGCUGUGGGGCCGCCCAUCCCCCAGCGGGCGCAGGGCUCUGGGUGCUCCCCUGGGACCUCCGGGGGGGGGAGGGGCGGGAAAAGGGGAAGUUGGGGGGCGGGGGGGGGAGGGGCGCCUACCCAGGGCGCCGUGGGGCGGAGGAGUGCGGGCCCCACGCCCCGGCUAUGGGGCAGGAGAGGGGCCGCCGUGGGGCAGAGGGGCCCUGAGCCGCGCCCAGGCGGUCAAGGUCACCGCCCCCAGCCUCUUCCCAUUGGUCGCCUGCCCCGCCGGCCCCGCCCCCCCGGCGGCCGUGGCCUGUCUGGUGGACGGUUACUUCCCGGAGCCCGCGGAGGUGACGUGGGAGGGCGGCCCCUCCCCCACCGCCGCCCGCACCUUCCCCGCCCUCCAGCGCCCCACGGGCCUCUUCACCCUGAGCAGCCGCCUCGCCCUGGGCGGGGCCAGCCCCGCCCACCUGCGCUGCACCGCCCGGCACCCGCCCUCCGGCACCACCCGCACCGCCGACCUCGCAGCACUCCCCCCCGGCAGAGCCCCCACCGCCGCCCUCUUCCACUCCUGCUCGGCCGCCCACGUCCGCCUCGUCUGCCUGGUCACGGGCUUCUCGCCGGCGCCCGUCGGGCUCCAGUGGCUGGAGGAUGGGCGGGGCCUGGAGGCCACGCCCCCGCCCGAGCCCGCGGCCGCCGAGGCCGCCGGCGGCACCUUCCGCCUCAGCGCCUACCUCAACGUCUCCUUGGCCGACUGGCAGGAGAAGACCUACGCGUGCAAGGUCACCCACGGCGCCACCGGCACCGUCACGGAGGCCGUCGGCGGCCGCUGCUCCGCCUCCCCAUUGGACGGCAGCAGCAUCCGCGUCUUCGUCCUGCCCCCCACCCCCUCCGAGCUCUACAUCUCCCAGAGCCCCCGGCUCCGCUGCCUGGUCACCAGCCUGCCCAGUGACGAGGGGCUGGAGGUGACGUGGAGGCGGGGCCUCGGCGGGGACGUCCUGACCCCCGCCGGCCCCGGCCAAUGGCUGCCCCAGUACAACGGCACCUACAGCUACGUCAGCGAGGUGGGCGUGGCCACCCACGAGUGGGAGAGCGGCCGCGCCUUCGCCUGCGUUGUCCGGCACCGCGACCUGCCGGCCGACGUCGUCCGCACCGUCGCCAGGAAGCCCGGCACCCGCCUGGCCCCCAGCGUGUACCCGCUGGGCCCCUCCCCCGAGGAGCUGAGCAGCAACAGCGACAGCGUCACCCUGACCUGCCUCGUGCGGGGCUUCUACCCCGACGACAUCUCGGUCGAGUGGCAGCUCGACCACGCCCCCCUGGAGGCCUCGGCCUAUGACGUCACGCCGCCGGCCCGCGAGAAGCCGGGCGACGCCCGCUACUAUCUCUACAGCCGAUUGGCCGUCGGCAAGGCCCAGUGGGCGGGCGGGGCCCGCGUCGCCUGCAUGGUGGUCCACGAGGGGCUCCCCAUGAGGUUCAUCCAACGGGCGUUCACCGCCACGCCCGGGCUCGUCCUGCCCGAGGACCUCUGCCACGCCCCCGACACGCCCGAGGGGCCCUGGGACACCAUCGCCGUCUUCAUCACCCUCUUCCUCCUCAGCGUCUGCUACAGCGCCACCGUCACCCUCUUCAAGGUGAAGUGGCUCCUCUCCAGCAUCAUCCAGCUCAAGCAAGGCCCCGCCCCCGCCUACAAGAACGUCAUCCACGGGGUGGUGUAGGGCGGGGCGGGUGGGCGUGUCCCCCACCCCCGAGCUGGCCGCCUCCUCCCAUUGGCUGCCGCCGUUGAGGGACAGCCAACCCGCCCCACCCCCACAACACCACCCACCCCACCCCCCCCACGGUGGGAAGGGCGGGGGGAGGGGGGGUAUCAUGGGUGCUCGGGGAGGAAAGCGGGGUGCCGGGUGGAGCAGGCGGGGUGCUGGGUGCCUCCCUCUCCCCACCCCCACCCCCAGGUGUUUCCUGUCCCCGCCCCUCCCCCACCGCGGGGGGUGAUGUCAGGCAGCACCUCAAAAUAGCACCCUGGGGGGGGGAGCUGGGGGGGGGCGGGGAUUGGGUCGCGCCGUGGGGCCGCAGCUGCUGGGUUAAGGCGGAGGCCACUGGGGCUACUGGGGGGUGGGGGGAGGGAGGGGACUGGCCAGUGGGGCUACCAAAGG
Phalacrocorax carbo (great cormorant) is the source of this 2148-nucleotide non-coding RNA. NCBI's taxonomy places the organism in Eukaryota, Metazoa, Chordata, Aves, Suliformes, Phalacrocoracidae. The record is from the annotation of a RefSeq genome assembly.